UCAUAUUGCCUGCAGAGCUGGGAGCCCUC
Molecule: non-coding RNA, 29 nt
Filed under: Bombyx mori (domestic silkworm)
Lineage: Eukaryota; Metazoa; Arthropoda; Insecta; Lepidoptera; Bombycidae
Source: RNAcentral